Molecule: ribosomal RNA, 389 nt
Filed under: uncultured bacterium
Lineage: Bacteria
Description: bacterial SSU rRNA
Rfam family: Bacterial small subunit ribosomal RNA
Source: RNAcentral
CAAUGGGCGCAAGCCUGAUGCAGCAACGCCGCGUGCGGGACGAAGGCCUUCGGGUCGUAAACCGCUUUUCUGGGGGAAGAGCAAGGACGGUACCUCAGGAAUAAGUCUCGGCUAACUACGUGCCAGCAGCCGCGGUAAAACGUAGGAGGCGAGCGUUAUCCGGAUUUACUGGGCGUAAAGCGCACGCAGGCGGCUCUGUUAGUCGGACGUGAAAGCUCUCGGCUUAACCGGGAGAGGCCGUUCGAUACUGCGGGGCUUGAGGUAGGGAGAGGAAUGCGGAAUUCGCGGUGUAGUGGUGGGAUGCGUAGAUAUCGGGAGGAACACCUGUGGCGAAAGCGGCAGUCUGGCCCUCACCUGACGCUGAGGUGCGAAAGCGUGGGUAGCAAACA